This is a long non-coding RNA of Papaver somniferum (opium poppy), 2287 nucleotides long. RefSeq lists it as uncharacterized. The transcript is spliced from 6 exons. The record is from RefSeq and is a predicted model, not a curated record. NCBI's taxonomy places the organism in Eukaryota, Viridiplantae, Streptophyta, Magnoliopsida, Ranunculales, Papaveraceae.
ACCUCACAUUCACCCAUUCGUUGUUAUCCCCUGCCGUUAUAAUUCAUCAAAUACUCUGCAAUAAAAUUCCCAAUUAUAACAACGUCAAUUUAGGACGUCAAUCUGCACUUAUAAUCUCCAAUUAUAUUAUCCCCUUCCGUUACGACGCAUCCCCUAAUCUUCUCUACUUUCAUAGCUCCUCAAAUAUUUUUUAAGGAAAAAAAAAAUGAUUUCUUUAAAGUCCCAGUAAUGACUUUCUCAUAUGUACAUGCAACAACAUCUCUACGUAAACCCUAGACGAGAUCAUCAUCUUACCAUGUUUCAAUCGCAUCCUGUCUCAACAAUACAGGUUUCGAUUGUUGUAUUCAGAAAAUCACCAGAGUUCUAAACAUCUUAGGUUUCUUCAUUUCUUUCUUCCGCAUACUCUCUAUUAGGUGAGGUCAGUACCAUCUUUAAUUUAAUUUUUCUUUAAAUUUGUUUAAUUGGUUUCUUCAGGUGGAAUUUUGAUUCUUCCACAUCUUCAAUUGAUUAUUUAUUGAAAGCACAAAACAUCCUUAAGAUGAUAACCAGUGGUUUCAAAUAUCCAAAUGGUAGAAGCUUAUUGAGCAGAUGAUGGUGUUGGAACAAUUUUUGGAUCUAAGAAUGGCCGUGCAAUAUAAGUCACUUGGAUUCAAUGUGGUUUUGAGGUUAGUUCAGACAGAUCUCACAAAAAUAUAUUCAGUUGACCAAAUUUGAAGUUUGUUGUUAUGGAUGUUUUAAUUUUUGUUUAGUUAUUAGCGUUUCAUUUAAAAAGAAUUUGGGUAUCUAACAUGCCAAUUGGCCCCUAACAACGCAGCUUCCUAUGAUAGAGGCACCAAACUAAAGAUUUCCCUCUGGGGUUCUUGAGUACACAGGAAAUCCAUGAAUGCAUGAACUCACCAUUAAGAAUGUUUGAAUUUCUCUGAUCCAAUUAUUCAGGACUCCAUCCAAGGUCCUUCAGUGAUUGUUUUUACUCCAUUUUGGUGAACAAUUAUUAAGGAGUUCGAGACACCAGGUAGGGAAUGAUCGGAUUAGUCGCAGGUCCUUCAGUGAUUGUUUUUUACUCCAUUUCUAUGAAUUAUUGUUAACGCCUUAUUAUAUUUCUGUUAUUUUUUGUGCAUAGAUGUUUCUGAUUAUUUAAUACUUUGCACUUUCUCAAAACCAUUGUGGUGCACUACACAGAAAAAAUCACCCUCUCCUCGACAAACGUCAAUAGAGUGUACACCAACAUUGACCUACCUGAAGAGCUCAAAUGGAAGAAAGUGUACAAGCUGCUAAUGUCGUUGUAUGUAAAGCCAGACCUGCACAUUGACAAAUUCACGACUAAUUAACCAACUGACCAUUGCCAGGUACUCACUGAAAUUACUUAUUGAAAAUGGUUGGUAUUAUCUUGCUUUGCUAUGGGUAUAACAAGGAAGUUGUCCGAGGAUGCUGACCAUUGAUGCAUAAAAUGUGAGAUCAAAGUCGACCUUCCCAUAGCUUGGUUUGUGAUCUUUGCUUAGCACCGUGAUAUUGAACAAUCUUUUUUUUUCUGGUGUCUACCCAUUUCCUACAUCCACGUUGAAGUUGAUGAUGCAACCAUACUUCCAUUUUUGUGGCUUUGGAUAGUGAGAGGAAUCAGUAAAGACAGACGUGCUUCCGGGGUUCUCACCAAUUUUUCACCAAGCAGUGGAUUUUCAAGGUUCUCAACGACUAAGGAUUUUUGUUGGUUACUUGCAGACCAUGAUCUUCUGCAAUUCUUAAAUAUGUUUUAUGAAGCUACUGGAGUAGGUGUUGUGAUGGAUAUAGAGGAGGCGGUGGUGAUGGAGAUGAGGAGGUGAGGUGGUUGUGCUUGACAACAACAAAAACUAUCAAUAAAUUCCUUCUGGAGAGCAACCACAGGGUCUCUUUACCUGGAAACAUGAAUUGGAUGCGUAUGAAGCUAUAAAAUGGGCAAGAAGUUCCAAUAUUCAGCAUUUGCACUUAGAGGGUGGUUCUCUUCAUGUGGUGAAGACAAUAAAAGGUGUAAUAGGCAUUGUAGGAUGGACUAACAAUGCCAUCAAUUUAGUCUCAACUCAUCUGCCAAGGGAUAUUGAUUCUGUGGCAAACACUCUGGCCAAAGAUGGUAGAUCAUUAGUAGUGAUGAAAUUAUGGGGAAUUGAGUUGCCUAUAUGGCUAAAUGAUAUCAUAAAUGAGAGACUUUAUAUUCCAACUUUCUUUCCUACUAAAAAAGAAAAAGAAAAAAAAAACGUGGAAACAUGAAUUGUGAGUUUUCUGGGUUAGCCUAAACGAUUUUGCACUCUUAACCUUC